This 395-nucleotide RNase P RNA is filed under the name Oceanicola sp. 22II-s10i. RNAcentral's name for it is "Bacterial RNase P class A". It matches the Rfam family "Bacterial RNase P class A". Rfam says of the family: Ribonuclease P (RNase P) is a ubiquitous endoribonuclease, found in archaea, bacteria and eukarya as well as chloroplasts and mitochondria. Its best characterised activity is the generation of mature 5'-ends of tRNAs by cleaving the 5'-leader elements of precursor-tRNAs. The record is from Rfam by way of RNAcentral. Lineage: Bacteria; Pseudomonadati; Pseudomonadota; Alphaproteobacteria; Rhodobacterales; Roseobacteraceae.
GCGGAGGGCCGGAUGGCCGCGGGCCCCUAGGGGUCCGAGGAAAGUCCGGACUCCACAAGGCAACGGUGCCGGGUAACGCCCGGCGGGGGCAACCCCAGGGACAGCGCCACAGAGAACAGACCGCCGCGCCUGUCGCGGCAAGGGUGAAACGGUGCGGUAAGAGCGCACCGGGGGACGGGCAACCGGACCCGCAUGGCAAGCCCCACCGGGAGCAAUGCCGAAUAGGGAUCCCGCGCGGGCCGGUCGCGUCAGCGAUACCGCCGCAGGGCCGCCUUGGCCCAGGGGAUCCGGGUUGGCAGCUUGAGGCGCCGGGGCAACCCGGCGUCCAGAGGAAUGGUCAUCGAACCGGGGGCGACUCCGGGGAACAGAAUCCGGCUUACAGGCCCUCCGCGCAU